This 484-nucleotide ribosomal RNA is filed under the name uncultured bacterium. Its description in RNAcentral is "partial 16S ribosomal RNA". It matches the Rfam family "Bacterial small subunit ribosomal RNA", at positions 28 to 523 of the family's 1533-position model. The record is from RNAcentral.
GAUGAACGCUGGCGGCGUGCUUAACACAUGCAAGUCGAACGGUGAACACGGAGCUUGCUCUGUGGGAUCAGUGGCGAACGGGUGAGUAACACGUGAGCAACCUGCCCCUGACUCUGGGAUAAGCGCUGGAAACGGCGUCUAAUACUGGAUACGAACCACGAAGGCAUCUUCAGUGGUUGGAAAGAAUUUCGGUUGGGGAUGGGCUCGCGGCCUAUCAGCUUGUUGGUGAGGUAAUGGCUCACCAAGGCGUCGACGGGUAGCCGGCCUGAGAGGGUGACCGGCCACACUGGGACUGAGACACGGCCCAGACUCCUACGGGAGGCAGCAGUGGGGAAUAUUGCACAAUGGGCGAAAGCCUGAUGCAGCAACGCCGCGUGAGGGAUGACGGCCUUCGGGUUGUAAACCUCUUUUAGCAGGGAAGAAGCGAAAGUGACGGUACCUGCAGAAAAAGCGCCGGCUAACUACGUGCCAGCAGCCGCGGUAA